RNAcentral lists this ribosomal RNA (2194 nucleotides) under Campylobacter jejuni. Its description in RNAcentral is "partial 23S ribosomal RNA". It matches the Rfam family "Bacterial large subunit ribosomal RNA", at positions 1 to 2199 of the family's 2925-position model. Lineage: Bacteria; Pseudomonadati; Campylobacterota; Epsilonproteobacteria; Campylobacterales; Campylobacteraceae. The record is from RNAcentral.
AGGUAAGCUACUAAGAGCGAAUGGUGGAUGCCUUGACUGGUAAAGGCGAUGAAGGACGUACUAGACUGCGAUAAGCUACGGGGAGCUGUCAAGAAGCUUUGAUCCGUAGAUUUCCGAAUGGGGCAACCCAAUGUAUAGAGAUAUACAUUACCUAUAUAGGAGCGAACGAGGGGAAUUGAAACAUCUUAGUACCCUCAGGAAAAGAAAUCAAUAGAGAUUGCGUCAGUAGCGGCGAGCGAAAGCGCAAGAGGGCAAACCCAGUGCUUGCACUGGGGGUUGUAGGACUGCAAUGUGCAAGAGGUAAGUUUAGCAGAACAUUCUGGAAAGUAUAACCAUAGAGGGUGAUAGUCCCGUAUGCGAAAAACAAACCUUAGCUAGCAGUAUCCUGAGUAGGGCGGGACACGAGGAAUCCUGUCUGAAUCCGGGUCGACCACGAUCCAACCCUAAAUACUAAUACCAGAUCGAUAGUGCACAAGUACCGUGAGGGAAAGGUGAAAAGAACUGAGGUGAUCAGAGUGAAAUAGAACCUGAAACCAUUUGCUUACAAUCAUUCAGAGCCCUAUGUAGCAAUACAGGGUGAUGGACUGCCUUUUGCAUAAUGAGCCUGCGAGUUGUGGUGUCUGGCAAGGUUAAGCAAACGCGAAGCCGUAGCGAAAGCGAGUCUGAAUAGGGCGCUUAGUCAGAUGCUGCAGACCCGAAACGAAGUGAUCUAUCCAUGAGCAAGUUGAAGCUAGUGUAAGAACUAGUGGAGGACUGAACCCAUAGGCGUUGAAAAGCCCCGGGAUGACUUGUGGAUAGGGGUGAAAGGCCAAUCAAACUUCGUGAUAGCUGGUUCUCUCCGAAAUAUAUUUAGGUAUAGCGUUGUGUCGUAAUAUAAGGGGGUAGAGCACUGAAUGGGCUAGGGCAUACACCAAUGUACCAAACCCUAUCAAACUCCGAAUACCUUAUAUGUAAUCACAGCAGUCAGGCGGCGAGUGAUAAAAUCCGUCGUCAAGAGGGAAACAACCCAGACUACCAGCUAAGGUCCCUAAAUCUUACUUAAGUGGAAAACGAUGUGAAGUUACUUAAACAACCAGGAGGUUGGCUUAGAAGCAGCCAUCCUUUAAAGAAAGCGUAAUAGCUCACUGGUCUAGUGAUUUUGCGCGGAAAAUAUAACGGGGCUAAAGUAAGUACCGAAGCUGUAGACUUAGUUUACUAAGUGGUAGGAGAGCGUUCUAUUUGCGUCGAAGGUAUACCGGUAAGGAGUGCUGGAGCGAAUAGAAGUGAGCAUGCAGGCAUGAGUAGCGAUAAUUAAUGUGAGAAUCAUUAACGCCGUAAACCCAAGGUUUCCUACGCGAUGCUCGUCAUCGUAGGGUUAGUCGGGUCCUAAGUCGAGUCCGAAAGGGGUAGACGAUGGCAAAUUGGUUAAUAUUCCAAUACCAACAUUAGUGUGCGAUGGAAGGACGCUUAGGGCUAAGGGGGCUAGCGGAUGGAAGUGCUAGUCUAAGGUCGUAGGAGGUUAUACAGGCAAAUCCGUAUAACAAUACUCCGAGAACUGAAAGGCUUUUUGAAGUCUUCGGAUGGAUAGAAGAACCCCUGAUGCCGUCGAGCCAAGAAAAGUUUCUAAGUUUAGCUAAUGUUGCCCGUACCGUAAACCGACACAGGUGGGUGGGAUGAGUAUUCUAAGGCGCGUGGAAGAACUCUCUUUAAGGAACUCUGCAAAAUAGCACCGUAUCUUCGGUAUAAGGUGUGGUUAGCUUUGUAUUAGGAUUUACUCCGAAAGCAAGGAAACUUACAACAAAGAGUCCCUCCCGACUGUUUACCAAAAACACAGCACUCUGCUAACUCGUAAGAGGAUGUAUAGGGUGUGACGCCUGCCCGGUGCUCGAAGGUUAAUUGAUGGGGUUAGCAUUAGCGAAGCUCUUGAUCGAAGCCCGAGUAAACGGCGGCCGUAACUAUAACGGUCCUAAGGUAGCGAAAUUCCUUGUCGGUUAAAUACCGACCUGCAUGAAUGGCGUAACGAGAUGGGAGCUGUCUCAAAGAGGGAUCCAGUGAAAUUGUAGUGGAGGUGAAAAUUCCUCCUACCCGCGGCAAGACGGAAAGACCCCGUGGACCUUUACUACAGCUUGACACUGCUACUUGGAUAAGAAUGUGCAGGAUAGGUGGGAGGCUUUGAGUAUAUGACGCCAGUUGUAUAUGAGCCAUUGUUGAGAUA